Erinaceus europaeus (western European hedgehog) is the source of this 374-nucleotide long non-coding RNA. RefSeq lists it as uncharacterized. The transcript is spliced from 3 exons. The record is from RefSeq and is a predicted model, not a curated record. Lineage: Eukaryota; Metazoa; Chordata; Mammalia; Eulipotyphla; Erinaceidae.
UACAUGCAAAGAGGCCGACUCACUGAAGCAGCUCCCCCAGAAACCGAGUCAGCUAGUGAGCCAUUUACCUCCAGUUGGUGUUAGUCACAGCCGUUCACAUGGGACGCUUGUCAGUCCAGAGCUCAGCCACUGCACCGCCUCUGUGGCCUCCAUGCGUGGCGGGACAGUACGGGACGGCUUCCCGUUCUCUGAGUGACUUGAAGCCCUGACACCAACACACCAGGAUGGGACUAUCAGAUGAAGAUCAGAGCAGGAGAACGUGCAAGAGACUGGAUUGGAGAGCAACAGGGUGAAAGCAACUUUUGCCUGUGAGUGGGAUCAUCCCAUAUUCAUCCUUCUCUUUCUGCCUGAUCUCACUUCAUAUGAUUCCUCCA